GUGCCAAUUUUUGAACAAUGCCGGGUUGCUGUGCUGUCGGCUGCAGCAACAAAACAGAAGACGGCUUCUCUCUCUACAACAUACCUCGUGGUAUCCGGAAUAGUGCACGCCGUGAAGUGUGGCUAUAAAACAUUUCACGCGAGGACUUCCGUGCAACGCCGUCGACGCGGCUUUGCGAGGAAAUGGCAUCAGCAUUGACAGCAGCUCAAUAGGACAUGGCCACUGCUACUUUCAUGUAUCUCAUGAGAGUGAUACUCAAGAAAUGUCCCCAGAGGAUCCGCCUCAACUUUCAAGUGACGCGGAAGGGGUUGGUCUCGGU
Rhipicephalus sanguineus (brown dog tick) is the source of this 319-nucleotide long non-coding RNA. RefSeq lists it as uncharacterized. The transcript is spliced from 3 exons. NCBI's taxonomy places the organism in Eukaryota, Metazoa, Arthropoda, Arachnida, Ixodida, Ixodidae. The record is from RefSeq and is a predicted model, not a curated record.